GCCCAGAUUGCCUUCCUACAGGGAGAAAGGAAGGGCCAAGAAAAUUUGAAGAAGGAUCUCGUGAGGAUGAUCAGAAUGUUGGAGUAUGCUCUUAAACAGAAAAGAGCCAAAUACCACAAGUUGAAAUAUGGGACAGAAUUGAAUCAGGGAGCUAUGAAGCCUCCAAGCUAUGAUUCUGAUGAAGGUAAUGAAACAGAAGUGCAGCCACAACAAAACAGCCAGUUAAUGUGAAAACAAGGUCGACAACUACUCAGGC
RNAcentral lists this long non-coding RNA (256 nucleotides) under Homo sapiens (human). Its description in RNAcentral is "non-protein coding lnc-CDH6-14:4". The record is from RNAcentral. Lineage: Eukaryota; Metazoa; Chordata; Mammalia; Primates; Hominidae.